Molecule: long non-coding RNA, 516 nt
Filed under: Androctonus crassicauda
Lineage: Eukaryota; Metazoa; Arthropoda; Arachnida; Scorpiones; Buthidae
Source: RNAcentral
UAACUGCCGCUCAACUUCUCUGACGACCAACUCAGUUAAAACUCCAGCCAUGGGGCUUCCAGUAUUCGCCUCUGAAACCAAUAAUAUUCGCCUUCCAAUAUUCGCCUCUGAAACCGUUUUCAACACCACAGUGUGUGCCAGGCCUGCUGCCGCCCUGAUCGUCAUGCCGGGAUGGUCUUUUGACCCCUGGACCUGUAAGGGAUCUGCCUUUGUAUCCUAUUUUGGUGGAUGCUUCUCACAUUGUGGCGGCCAGUCCUACCUUAAAGCGGAUCGUAUUUAUACCAUUGGCCGGGGGCAUGGCUGCACUGACAAGUUUGUGGGGAACCUUUUCCAUAAGCGGAGGGCUAACUGCCAAAGACAGUUGGCUCCCACUGAGCAGCCUGGCGCUUCGUCCCGUAUGGAGGGCGGUUCUGUCGCACAGUGCCGGGUCCCAGUGCCUUACAGGCUCCGCACUGGCUCUUCUGUUGGAUCCGCCCUUGAAUCAACAAGUGAAGCCGGUACCUUUGGAGGAGCGCC